This 599-nucleotide ribosomal RNA is filed under the name uncultured bacterium. RNAcentral describes it as "bacterial SSU rRNA". It matches the Rfam family "Bacterial small subunit ribosomal RNA", at positions 848 to 1447 of the family's 1533-position model. The record is from RNAcentral.
GGAGCUAACGCAAUAANCACUCCGCCUGGGGAGUACGNCCGCAAGGUUGAAACUCAAAGGAAUUGNCGGGGGCCCGCACAAGCGGUGGAGCAUGUGGUUUANUUNGAAGCAACGCGAAGANCCUUACCAGGUCUUGACAUCCCGAUGCUAUUCUUAGAGAUAGGAAGUUACUUCGGUACAUCGGAGACAGGUGGUGCAUGGUUGUCGUCAGCUCGUGUCGUGAGAUGUUGGGUUAAGUCCCGCAACGAGCGCAACCCUUAUUGUUAGUUGCCAUCAUUAAGUUGGGCACUCUAGCGAGACUGCCGGUAAUAAACCGGAGGAAGGUGGGGAUGACGUCAAAUCAUCAUGCCCCUUAUGACCUGGGCUACACACGUGCUACAAUGGUCGGUACAACGAGUUGCGAGCCGGUGACGGCAAGCUAAUCUCUGAAAGCCGAUCUCAGUUCGGAUUGGAGGCUGCAACUCGCCUCCAUGAAGUCGGAAUCGCUAGUAAUCGCGGAUCAGCACGCCGCGGUGAAUACGUUCCCGGGCCUUGUACACACCGCCCGUCACACCACGAGAGUUUGUAACACCCGAAGUCGGUGAGGUANCCUUUUAGGG